Molecule: long non-coding RNA, 741 nt
Organism: Amphimedon queenslandica
Lineage: Eukaryota; Metazoa; Porifera; Demospongiae; Haplosclerida; Niphatidae
Exons: 3
Source: RefSeq, a predicted model, not a curated record
GUAAAAAGUAGCGUGAAAUGAGUCAAGGCAAUCACUUUUCUAGAAGACCCUUUGUUAAUAAUGAAUUUUCAAAGUAAAAAAGCUCACUCUACUAAGAAGUGGAAUUCCAGAACUUAAGAAGCAGAAAAGUAGAAUUCAAAAAAAUACAAUUAUCUUAUCUUCUUUGCCCCGCCUAUAGAUCAUCUAGUUUUUGAAGGCGUGUCCACUUUAAAAUGGCGGCAAACAAAAAAGGCGAAGGCGUGUCUGCUUUCAAAUGGUGGCAACCAUAACUAUAGUACAAGGUAGUCUGGCUAGGCAGGCCAAUGACUGUAGCCUAGGAAAUGGAGUGAUAAUGUUUAACUCGUUAGUAAUAUGGCUUGAUAACCUAUUUCAUUCUUUACAAUACAGGUUAGAUUGGCUUUAUAUAGUGUCAGUGAUGUGUGAAUGAGCCGGUUUCAGUUGGCUCUUGAAGAUUGACAAAUAAUAAUGAUUCUUCGUUUAGAGUGCAGGCAGUAUGGAAUGUUGUAGUGGACACAAUUCCUGAUCAAUGAUAUACGUAUGGAAAGGAUGUGUCAUUAUGUAAUGUUCACCCUGCCUAUCAUAGGCACAUCUACUUUCAAGAGACAAGAUGGCGAUGAAGUUUAUAAGCAAGUUUAGGUGAUAUCACGGCCUCGUGUAAUUCCUUAGAUGUGUUGGUGAUCUGAAAUACUCAUUUUGAGGUUUUUUAUCCAUUACACUGGCACCAACACUGAGACAGACAAA